RNAcentral lists this ribosomal RNA (253 nucleotides) under uncultured bacterium. RNAcentral describes it as "partial 16S ribosomal RNA". It matches the Rfam family "Bacterial small subunit ribosomal RNA", at positions 524 to 776 of the family's 1533-position model. The record is from RNAcentral.
GACGAGUCUCACGAACGUUAUUCGGAAUUACUGGGCGUAAAGGGCGCGUAUGCGGCCCGCUACGUCGAACGUGAAAUCCCUGGGCUCAACCCAGGAACUGCGUCCGAUACUGGUGGGCUUGAAUCCGGGAGAGGGAUGUGGAAUUCCAGGUAUAGCGGUGAAAUGCGUAGAUAUCUGGAGGAACACCGGUGGCGAAGGCGACAUCCUGGACCGGUAUUGACGCUGAGGCGCGAAAGCCAGGGGAGCAAACGGG